This is a long non-coding RNA of Gasterosteus aculeatus aculeatus (three-spined stickleback), 13533 nucleotides long. The record is from Ensembl. Lineage: Eukaryota; Metazoa; Chordata; Actinopteri; Perciformes; Gasterosteidae.
UGCAGCCUUUCACUGUACACCCACUCCACUUGAAGUUUUCAUUUCUGAUAAUAUUUACAUUACCCACUCACUCUGCACAUGCACCGCAACCCCUUAUAGUUGGUCUCCCCAUUAACCGUGCUGAUGCACUUUGUGUGAAAAAAUAAAAAAAAUGAAAAUAAAAAAAAGCUAUUUGCAAAGCAAUUUCACUCCCUUAUAUCUCAAUUUUUUUCCUUUCCUCCGCCCUUGAAAUCUGUGGAUGUGAAAUUGUCUGCGGGAAAUUGCCAAGUGGAAAAAUACAAGCAAAACACCAUGUCACAGAUGAGGCGGUGAAAGUGAACCAGCUGCUGCUGGGGAAGGGCGUCGUCUUUCUCACCCUCGCGCAGUUCUUCCCUGAUAUUUAACAGGAACCUGUUUGUGGCGGCGAGAAGCGGCUCCAUGAGCGGGUUCAAAGCGGAAAUUUGAAGGACAAGUUCUGUAUCAAAAGCUCUUCGUCCCUCGCAGGCAUUCAGAGUAAGGGACAGGAAUUAGUCCCACUAAAGUUUUGCUGCACGGAGACACGGUGACUGAGACAUGAAGCCCCAAAAAUAUUAAAAUGUGUUUUUCAUUGAACAAAUAUUUAAACUGCAUCGUCCAAGACAAUAUGCUGACCGGAUAAGCAUGGGAAUACAUCAUUUCCACUGUAGCCGCCUUUAACAGUGUAUUACUGUGAUAUCUGAAGGUGGUGCAAAGAAACCCGUUUGAAAGAGGCUUUUAGUUUAAAGGGAUGACGAUCAAAGCCACAGCGACUAUAAUGAGAAAAUGUACUUCACUGCAAGUGCACCUAAUCAAAACUUCUGCAGUGCGCGUUGCCUCAUCCUUAAAUAAAUUGCAACGAAUGAGUCACUGCCACUUAGCGGUUGACAUGGAUUGUCUCUGAGCUUGACUGGCCUGACUCCCACGCCAUGUUUGGCCGGCAGCUUCUAUUACUUUCACUUGUAAUGAUGUCAUCAGAGAAAUAGAUGUUAUUUCCUCUCAGCUUGUAUUACUGCCCUGACGGGUGCCGUAAGACUUCAUCUGACAGCAACCCUCUCCAAUCAAAGUCAGCGCAACGAACGCCGCUUCGGCGUGCCUUCCUAACGACUCGCCUUAUUUCACUGCUCGUGUGUGAGUGCAGAUUGAGACGUUCCCAAAAAGGGUUCAGGCGACAGAGAAGCUAUUUAGAAACAAUUAUUACAGAAUCACAAAACAUAUGGUGAAACUCAAGUGCAUCAAUAUAUUCAUGAACCUGUGAGGACUCGGAAGCUUCUGCUGCCACCCAUCCCUUCAUAUUGAAUAUUAUACAUACAACCGUAGACUGCGACCGGUCCCGUGACCACCUGCAUGCAACAUCCGUAGCAAUGGAUUUAUCCUCUGUUGCAAUGAGGCCGCUUCUGUAUACAGUUACCAAAGAGAAGAGGGCAGGAAAUGGCUGUGAAAGGGUCCCCCAUUAAAACAAUAAAUCAUUAAUCUCAUGCUUGUUUGAGUGCUGGUUUACAGUCCUCUCAGGGGCUACUGUGUGUCCGUUUCACUAAAUAAAUAUAUAUUGUACUUGUGUUGGCAAUAUGGCAAUAUGGCCCCACUCAAGGGCACCGCUGGAGUUCGGUCAUAAAACUCAGUGCUGCUGUAAGUAUGUGUGUGUGUGUGUGUGUGUGUGUGUGUGUGUGUGUGCUGAUGUACGGUACACUGGACUCGUAAACAACAAGCCAACAUGGGACCAGACAGGACACCAAUCAAAUCAAUGCAGGUCCAACAUGCAUUGCCCCUGUGUGUGUGUGUGUGUGUGUGUGUGUGCACGAUUGUGUAGGCGAGCCAGAUCACUGGAUCAAUGCACAGGGGAGGGAGGCUGACAGAAUAAUGACCUGUCCUCUCUUUUCAACAGCCUUUCUCUCUAGCCGUUUUCUCUACCCCCCCCAGGUGUUCCUCUCAUGUACACUUCACGUUCUUCAUUCAUCCCUCGCUUAUUCAUCUUCCUCUUCACACUGGUCCAGGAAUAGCUCCUCUCUGUUGCCUUUAAUCUCAUAUAUUUUCCCCUUCAUUCCCUCCUUUCUUCGUCCAUCCGAUGAGAUCUUCCAUUUCUGCUUUUGUUGCCGAUCGCCUUUCUUUUUCCCUUUUUAUAUAAUUCCUCUUUUAAGCGACCCCCUCUUUCCCACUCCCAGCCCCAAUAACUCAAACCGUCCUUUCUUUGAUGCAUCAUUCAUGGUUUUGUUCCCUAAUGCACUCUCUAUCUCUUUCACAGCCACACUAUCAAAUCUUCAUCAUCUGCUUUUAUCUCGUGUUCGUGCUUUUUACCCUGCCCCCCCCCCGUACUGUCUCGUCUUGCGUCCUCUCGCUGUGGCCGCUGCUUCUUGGCCCUUUCUAUUUCGAUCUCUCUGCAGCAGAGCUCUGUGUCUCACUUCAUCCCUGCUCCUUCAACCCUUCUCUUUAAUGCGCCUUCCUACCCGUGUCCCUCUCGUUCCCUUCUCCAUCACUUUGACUUUUCUCUUCCAUUUCUUCCUUCCCUCCAGCCCCCCUCCCCCCCUCCCCUUCCCAUCAUUUCUCUCAUUCCCCGAGGUGUGUGACUGAGUGCUGAAAGCCCCAGGUCCCAGUAAUGGGAUAAUCCUUUACAUCAGAGCAGUGGCAUCAGUCAGGGCUAACAUGUCACUCUUUAAAAGUCAACCUCAUCACUGAAAUAGCCCCCCAAUCUCUGCAUCGCACUUCUUUUCACGGCAAACGUGCACACACGUGCGCUGCGUUCUGACGGGGCGUCCGGUUGCGAAGGCCCAGCCUCCGGACCGUUUUACCCAUUAUCGACCUCUAUCACGUUGCAUUUACCUGGAGAUAAACACUUGGCCGGGAGGAUGUUUAUCUUUCCUACGUGAAAGCAUGUAUGUUGGCAUGAUGUAUACGCCGCGCACGGUAGAUAGCCAGCCUGGGGAUAUUAAGCUGGUGUCGCAAAACACUCUUUAAGUGCAGGGUAAAUGUGUUUGUGAUACAAUCAUAUUAUUUCCCUGCUUUCCACCUCCAAUGUCAAUGUGAAGUUUGGAACAAAAUGCACGUAUGUGGACACAAACGCAGACCCACACAGGACUAAAUUCACGCCACAGGUAGAACAUCUGCGCUCUGGAGUGGGAGGAUAGUGUGGGGAGUGUUGCUGUGGUCGUCCGUGUUCACCUGCUCCCAGAAAUAGCUUGAGAUACACAAUCACUCUGCGACACCUGUUUUGGGCCUUACGUAACCGCAAGUGGAGACCGCAGAGAAACAAGUGGGGGGGAGAAGAGUAGUAAUGGAUGGUGGAAGUCAGGAAGAGCCUUUAUAUAUGUGUGUGUCUGUGUGUGAGUGUGAGUGCGUGUGUGAUGGUUUGUUUCUGCAUGAACUAAAUCAAAAGAGAUGCGAGGGCUCCAUAUCGAGUAGAUAUAUUCACUCUUCCUACCAUCAACAUUUCUAACCAUAUAGUUUGUACUAUUAGUGGUGUGGCCUGAAUUUGUUUAUGCUUGUUUCAACGCUUUGGUUAGUGCCCCAAACACAAAGAUAGUAAUAAACAGAUUGCUGGCAAAGCAGCUUUGGGUUCUGAUAGAACACCAAAAAUGACAAGAGAUGACUACUGGUUUAAAGUUGAAGACAUACUAGGAUCAUGGUAACAAGAGGAACUACUAGGCUGUGCCUGGGAAACAAUCGUGGUCAUGAUUAAAACGCUGACUGUUGAUGGAGGAAAAGGAUCCACUUUGUACAACCAACAACCGUUCGGACCUCUUCUCAAACAGGCCUUGUGGUGCUCUAAUAAUGCCUUGCUACUUCCCGAAGGAAACAAUCAGCAUUGGGAUGACCGGAUGAGGUCAAUUGUCAGGGAAAUGUAAGCAUGAGUCAUUUAUGUGCUGGAAUGGGCAACAAAUGAGUCACUGAGUGAUAUCUCUUUUAUAAUCGUCACACAAUUUCAGCAGUAUAGUUUACGGUUUCCAGAAGGUCUCCAGCAUCAAAUCAUCAUCCAACUACGAGUGUCUUUGUAAAUGUACAAACGCGUGUGGUUAUAUUGUGACACUUUGACACUUUGAUCGACAAAGACACAGAGGCGUCAUGCCUGUGAACCCGUCAAUGUGCAACAUGCAAGAAACAGGCAAUGCCGCCAUUGAUGUGGCCGCUUAUCCCGCAACGCGAUGAAUGGAUGCAGCACCCACAAGGCCCUGACGGGAGGCUGUGUCUGUGCUGUGUGUGCAGGGGGCUCGUUUGCUGAUGUGCGCUGAAGGAGAGUGUCGACAAUCUGGCAUGUGGCAUUUAUGUGUGUGUAUGAAAACAGGCAAAUGUGGGGUACGUUGUGUUUGUUUUCACACGUCCCAAUGCAAAUUACACCAAUCCGAAGGACAAAUAAUUUGUUUUUCUUACUCAUUUAUAUCUAUUUAUAAGCAUCAGGAUGCUUUGAUGCUACUUCUCAAAGAAGUGUUUUAUAUGCCGCUGGCACUUUGCCUGUCGUCCAUAACGUGACGCAAAGGGGCGUCAACAGUCGUCCAUACUCCAUCACAGACGGCGUGCUGUAUAAUGUUGUUCCAGCACCCAGCGAGCAUCAUUUGGGGAGAACAUGAUAGACUGGAUGUUGGUUGCGAUUUAGUGUUCUAUGUAAGGAGGCAUGGCAGCAGGGAGGAAGUAGAUGCUAACUCGAUCCAACCUCCUAAACUACCAUGUGGCCUUAAAUCCAGCAAAGUUGACUCGUUCAAAGCAAACACACACACACACACACACACCGGUGCCAGUGUGACUAGUUGGUUUUCAAUGCUUUGAGGAUGGGGGUUCUCAAGCAUGUCGGGGGGCAACAGAUAUAUGAGGCUGUAAUGAAAACUUACAGCGCGGGCUUCAAGGCUGGCGUCAGCUGAACGGAGCUUUAUGAUGAUGACUGACUGGAAGUCAUAAUUUCCCACCACUUUACUCCUUCCAGGUUGGGGAUAAUGCUGGGGAUUAAGGUGCAGCAGGUGGAAGGGGAGGUUUUGUUAAGGAAUCGUGUGUCAUGAAAUCUUCGCACAAGGAACUCCACAGCUGACAAUUAAGUCUUAUUUGUGAUAAGCACAUUAUUAUGAAUCUUUCAGCAGAUUAACAGUACAAAGCAGGUUAAGAAUUCUUUCUUCACAACUUUGUUACAGCAAUCCAAUGGAUGACAAAAGCAUUUUAAAUGAUGGGAUCACAUUCACCUUCUACUACCUUUACACUGUAGCAGUCAAUAAAAAGCAUGAAGAUAACAUGGAUCAGAACUCAAAACUAAGGGACAACACAAAAGGAUUAUUAGGCCUGAUAAUACAACUUCUUUGUGAGCAACAAAUCAGUGUUGAAGGAGCUGGUUAAUGUUAGCUGUGUUUUUCAGACAAGCAGGCUAACAUACAGGGGAUGAUUGAGUUGGAUUACUAAGCUGUAUUCAGAAAAGAUUAGUAGUGUGCAAGGUUAAUUCCAAUAUUAUUAUUGGGCAAGAAACCUGAGUAGAAUAAUAAGGGAAAAAUGACCAAUCAGCAGAAAAUGAAAUAAAAUAUAUCCUAAUGGAGUUCAUGUUGAAGUAAAUCGGAUUUAUUGUUAUGUAUUUGUUUUUGACAGUGAUAUUUAAUUGGGUACCACCUUGCUUUCUGGCUGAAUCCCACUACAACUGAUGUUGGACGUAUCCCAACGUGCACUGUAAUUUAACUGCAUUCAUUUAACAGAACUAUGCUUAAUGCUACACAUGGGAGUUUGAAUCGGCAUCCGUAAAUCUGAAGUGCUAUGCUUUUAUGUCGAGUAUUUUAUUUUUAUAAACAGUAAAAUAUAAGCCUCAUGUAAAGGCGCUGAUGAGUAGUGUCAAAGUCCUAGCAAACACUAAUUGUAAAUAGGCUAAAGUUACGCAUACAAACAGGCUGACAGACGGGGUGACGGGUAGGCUAAUCGCUGACGACUCCGUCACACAGAGGAUAGAGUCAGGGUCCUGUUGGAUAUCUCCACCCAUCCCCACUAUAACAUGAUAGCGUUAUCACUGACCUUCACAUGCAGAACCCACGGGAAUCAUUUUACUCUAAUGCAUAAAACCACAAUGUUUAACUUGUCCUCUCCUCAGCUCUGACUCUAAAUCCCCGUCGGUGAUGACUGACCUUGAAGUCUGGCUUCGACGAGAGUAAAUGUAAUUAUAACUGCUGGACAGAAUAGACUAGUGAGCUAGAGAGGGCACUUGGCAGAUCAGAUUAUUCCCUAAAACACAGUAACCCUCAUACUGCAGUGACAGCUACAGCGAAAUAUGCCCGAGGCGAGUAAACCUGCAUGUGUGUGUCCUUGCGUGUUUACAUGUGGGCAAACGUUGGGAGCUACUCACCAGAAGUCUGCAGUCCAACACAAUGUGCUGGAACAACAAUGAAGACUCUCUCUUCCACUAAACAUCCCCCCUCCCCAUGGAUCUUUUAUGUCCUUGCAUCAUGCAUACAGAGAGAUGGAUGGACGACCCAGCGGCUGAGCCCGCUCGAGUCACACAUGGCAAUAACAUCUUCUGCAGAAUCCUUUCCCUCCAGCCUUAGCAACAGUAGGCGAACCCAUGAGCAGAAAGGAAUCCACCCCCCACCCCACCCUGCGGACUUGCUUAGCUCUCCUUAGCCCUGCAGGCAUUAUGUCCCUUUGAAUCUUCACUGUCCUUGCCUCUUUUUUAUUUGCACAAGGCCACAAGGGAUCAUUCUAGCGCUAUCGUUUUUUUGUAUUACUUUUGUGGGAGCUCUCCUUACAGAAAGAACAGAAGUGUCCCUUGUCAAGGUUACAAGGAUUAUCAAACACUACAAACAUGCGAAAUGGCGUCACCACCAAAAACGCACCUAUCUGUUGGCUUGAGGUGGGCGCCCUGGGUUACGGCUGCACAAUAAAUCCCAUUUUAAUGGCUAUCACGAUUUUGGCUGCCACAGUUACACAAGCAUAAUCGUCAGCAAUAUUGACUUUUAAAAUGAGUGCUCUGCUACAUAUUAAAUCAAGUGCUUCCUCAACUAACUAAGGAUCAUCAUCCGUUGUCUGGACGUUUUGUGGAUUUUGGGCAAGGACCAAGCAUACAGUAUGCACAAAGUGAGCAGAGUGCGUUAGAGUUGUGUCUGCGCCGCAGAGCAACACAACUAGCUUGUUAAACCACCGUAAAAAAAAAACCCACCACAACCCACAGUACGGCGAAUGCAUCAAGACCCAAGCUAUCGUUACCCCACUGAAUCUCCGUCAGCGUCCAAUGACGUCAACAGAGAAAAGCAGAAAAGCAAACCAGGAGUGUGACCCCGCACAGCACCACAGCGUGUCCAUCCACCUCCCAAAGACACACUGAAAUAACGGCUUUCAUUUGGCCGAAGACAUUCCCCCCGUCCCCCGACAGAGGCCCUUGUGGAGCCCCCACUACCGUAGUGCAGCAGAGAAACUGCUGACUGGCCUCCCUCCUAAUCGGUACCCGCCAACGGUGUUGAGGCAACACGGCCGAGAAGCGAACCCAGCUCUGCGCAGUGAUGGUGGGUAAGUGUUUUUCCUCUCUGCCACACUGGCGCCAACCCUGGUAAGUUAUAUUGUGACAAAGCUCUCAUCGCUACGCUCUUAAAAGGAAAAUAUUUGUCUCCUGUGUGCAUUCCCCUCGGCAGUUUGCCAAAGCAUUCUAUAUUUGAAGGACUUCCAGACCCGAAGGUUCUGGCCAAGCUAAUAUUUCAAUCCCUCACUCUGGAGACCUGAAGAUAUGAGUGAAUCACUGAGGCAAGCCUUCAGUCAGGCCGCCUGGAACAAGGGGGUUAAAUAGAACGGAGGGAGUUUAUUCACACAUUUCACAAGGGGGAAAUAUGGCGGAAAUUGUGAAGGGGCUACAAGCAAUGUAAACCGGAACAAGACAAAAGAGGCAGGAACAACGAGGAGGGGGUUGUAAUGAAGUCUGAGAGCCUCCUAAUUGGGCAAAGUCUUUGAGCGGGCAGCCAACAAGCAGCUCUGGACAGGUCAGACCGAGAGCAAAAGAGAGAGACGGAAGGAAGGGGGAAACAUUUAAAGACACAAGGGGGGCGCCAUGAAAAGGUUGAGCAAUGUGAAUCUAAUGAAUUGAGGGGUUGUAAGAGAGCAGCCUUGACCGCCAACUCCCUGCUCCCUACUUGCCUUAAUUCCUCCUUUUACGCUCUCCAGCUUUUGCUGCAAAUCUAUGAUCAGCUUAAUGGGCUGAAAUUUGGAGCAAAAAAUCAGUUUGGCCACAGAUGAUGACACCGCGGAUGCCUGGGCGGGCUCAGGGACCGGGGAGGAACAGCGUGGCCAAUGAGGUGAAGGGGUGUGAGAGAAGGAGUGCUCUACGAGGACAUCUUCGGAGGACUAAUUUAUGAGCAUCUUGAUCAAUGUGUUAAUUAAGUGGAGAGUGGGGAAAUGGAGAGGCCAGUGGCUGGCCAGAGCCACCGGUGGCAACGAAGAAAAGGGGGGAUGGAUGGGCGCAAAUGGGGGAAGGUUAGGGGACGGAAUUUGGCAGGAUGUGGAGGCAAGUGUGGGGGGGGUCGAUUCCCCUGUGUGCUUAACUAAAUGGGCCAAUUCAAUACCAUUUGUAGUUUUGUUGAUCAGCUCACCCACUAGAAUUUCGUUGCACCUCCUCACAUUUGUCUGAGCGGUGCAACAUGUCGAGAAAGCGAUUCCAAUUCUGGUCUUUUAGGGACCUUCGGUAAUACAACUCAGAUAUUCGAUUCUCAAAAGCUAGAAUAUACGCUCAGCCCGCGUUCAUCCAGCGUACUUACAAAAUACGCUUGCAGCUGCCCUGGCUUCCAGAAUGUAAAGCACAUUCUCCAGUGAGAGGACCGGAGCUCAUCCUUUGAAAUGUGUUUAUUCCCCCACAAAAGCAGAGGGGGGAGAGGGAGAGAGAGAGAAGCAGCGAAAGAAACAGGGCCAGAAAAAUCCUGCUGACUUGCAGCCUUCAAAAAUCGCCGCCCACUUCUCCUAUUCCCCUUCUUUAUUUCCAAGUCCCUGGAGUUAAAGCCCAAACGGAAAGAAAUUGUUUCAUGUGGGCACCGGGGGAGCUCCGGUUGCUUUCUUCCCAUGGUUUUAUCUUUGCAGAAAACAACCCCACCCGACCACAUCCCGCCAUCCGACCGUGAGACACGUUAACACGUAUCCCGGCCACUCAUUAGCAGUUAGCACUGGCAGGUGACCAAGCUCCCACUCUGGGCUGAUUUGGAGGCGUUCUUCCUCCUUCCCUCCUUUUACAGUCCACCUAUACAUUACGGCCCCUUUUAAAUGUGUAACGCACGCUUCUUUUCCGCAUCUUCUAUAUUCCCCUUGUGAUCACUCUGGGCUGCUAAAAUCUUACAGGAAAUAGCCCCAAAAGCCCUCUUUCUUACUCCUUCUGUACAUUUCAGAGAGGAGGGACAUGUGAAGGGCACUGCGAGGGGAAGAUGAGUCAUUUUCACCAAGAUACUGUAGCCUGAGGCUGGCAGAUAAGUGCACUCAAUAAAGCCGGGCACGAGUUAGACCACUGACAUUUAUGUCCCCGGUGCCGUGAGCUGCUACCUGUGCAAGUGUAGUCCACGGAAAAAAAGGCUGUGCGUCCAGGGUGUUUGUCCCAGGAGUGAUCCACACAGAUUGGAGUUUAGCCCCACUCUCCUACUACUAUUUGUCAGCAGAAGAAUUGCUUCAGCCUUGAGAGACAGUGCGAAGAGCCACGGAUGAAUGAUUCAACCAACGCGCAUUGUUUCUCAUGAAGGAUGGAGGACACACAUGUCGCAUCCUUAAAUAUUGAGAGAAUAACAAAAAGGAAAGUGCCUUUAGUUAAAGAAAAGCCAAGGAGACAGGAGUACCGUGUUUCUUUUUUAAGACAUUUGCUGUGUAUGUAACCAAAGGCGAGAGCUCUCGCUGUUGUGUGCGCGUGUCUGUGUGGACACGCGUGUGUCCCUGAUCAUCCAGAAGCUUCCUGUUUUCUUUGCUGAUUGGGACAAUAACUGCGACGAUCAUUGCCUACUUGGCAUCAGCCAGCGCAAAAGUGUAACACUGCCAUUCUGGUGCUCAUUCAUCACUGUCACGCCUCUGCCUUUGUACCUAACCGGCUCACACACACACACACACACACACACACACACACACACACACACACACACACACACACACACACACACAUGCACACAACUAAAACCAGGAACUAGGAAUGGACUGUCAGGAAAGAGACAUCCUAAUUCACUACGUGGGCCUAUUCUUUUCAUUAGCGUCUGCCAAAACCCCGGCAGCCCCUACAAUGCAUCAACUGGAGCGGGUGUUGCUCAACACAUCAGCGCCUUCGCGACAAACGUCGCGGCGGCAGAGGAGGCGGGGGGCUAUGUUGCUGACCGCGCUACGUCUUCCACCCACCGCCACUUAUGCAACGGUCGGACAUCAAGUUCCGGGGGACUGCGUCGCCGGUCGGCCGCGAACUACGCCCCCGCGGCGGCUCAUUUCGUUGUACUGAAGCAGCGACACACGCGCAAGCAGCGGCGCUAGUGUGUGUUUUAUAACAAUCCUCGUCAUUAUGCUGUGCAGACGCGGUGAUAACACUUCAGCUCGUUGGCCGACGCUGCUGCAGCCUGCUUUCGCCAGCGUUGCCAUUCAGCGGGUUUUUCUCCAGCCAGUUGUUAGGGCUUCCGCUGACAGCUCAUACUAAUAUGUGUGCUGGUGUGUCAGCCAAUACUAAUGUGUGCGCAACGGCGGGGAAGAGGUUGCAUUCAGCAGAUGUUGAGAGAGCAAAACAGAGACGGUGGUGUUGUGAUGUUGUGGCAUUCUUCUCUCUCUCUCUGGUGUACAUUGUGCUCCUUCACAGCUCGCUUUUCUCAAACGGCCUCCUGUUGCCUCUCCAGGUUUUGACCUCCGCUUGUGACACACUUGACUUUCAGAGCACAUCGUGUCCUCCUCCUCUCUCUGUUUGUGUCCGGGGUAAGAGGGCAGGUACAUAGCAGCCAGCGUCCCUGACUGCCUGCCUGCAUCCGCUUGCGAUGCUGAUGGGUUUGCUGUGGAGCCCCCACAGGAGGGGGGGCGGGGGGGGAUGUGGCCACUCCUGACCUUGAGAUGCUGUCAAUACCAUAACUCACUCCACUUCCCUGAGUCUCAUCGAUGGCCGGAUGUAACCAGUGGCACGUGCUUCCAGAGCAAAGAUGACCCGCACAAGACUGAAUAACAAGAAGGGAUUGGGACACACACACACACACACACACACACACACACACCAAUAAAAAAAAGGAUAUUCUAUAAACACUAAUCGCCAAAUGUUGAUAUAAAAUUCCUGUAUUAAAUCUCAGGAUAUAAAAGGGAUUGCAAAGGGGUAUUGAGGACAAAAACAAAGCACACAGGUACCGUUCCCAUGGUUGCGCCUGAGAAAUACAGCGAGGGGGGGGGGGCUCUCAGGUUGCCAGAGGGAUCAGCUGCUCUGCUCGGAGCAACACGGAUUCUGACCGUCAGUCAAUCUGAUUGGCUGGGAAGCAGGAUGUAUUUAAUCCCGGCUGAUGCUGACUCCAGUGCCGUUGAUUCCAUCAAAUCUGUAUCGUACUUUCUAUGCAGGACCCGACCCAACAGCGCGCAGGCUUGAGAUUUUCUAUUGUGUGAGGGAAUGUGAAGCUGUGACCAACCACCUGCACCGCAGGUCUGAUCUUGGCCUUUAUCUCUUUGAAGAAAAGAGGAGUUCAUGUUCAUUGAUCUUGGCCGGUGGUCGGCCGGUGGUCGGCCUGGUUCCAGCGGGACGUGGGGAGGAGUGGCAACUCGAAGGUUGCCACCGCUGUUGGCUCGUGACUCAAGAAGUAACCUUUUCCUUUUUCUUUUAGAUAAAAAUGUAUCAGGGAGCGUUCGACCUUGAUCCAACCUUGAUGAGCCCGCAGGGGCCAGCAGGUUGACUUCAGCCAUGUGGGUUUGAAGGCAAACGGGAGGAGAACAGUCGGAGAGUCCGUGUGGGAAAGACAUGAGACGUGACACACAAACGAAAGAGCGGAACAUUUUCUCAUAGUAAGAAGAAGGAAGAUAACCAAAGCUCAGAGGAGUAAUGGUUUCAACCCCUUGUCUCCAUCUGCACCCCAGAGAGCAGGGAUCUCAUUCACCAGGCUGAUACAAAGCAGAGGGAGAUGAGCCACGGUGGGUGGGGGUGGGGGGGGGGGGCUGUGGGAGACCGGUACUCUGAGAGAAGUGCCGAUAUAUAUCAUUUCAUCUCUUGCUUUUACUCGUUCAGUCAUUUCCAGGAUUGAAGGGCCUAUGCAAAAGUUACUGCACAGUAUUAACUUUUGCCUUCUUUCCUCGCGGCAAAAUAAUUGGAGUAAAUAAGAUAUGCCUAUCCGUCUGCUUAGGUUUGCUUAUUUUUCAUUGGAAUAAAACAUUUGGGUGUAACGAUUUCAUGUCAGGAUUGUGCACAGCACCAGAGAACACGCUUUACUGGGCUUUAUCAUAUGGGGGGGAAAAUGCAGCAGGCAGCAAUUUGGACAUUGCAGCAGUCGAUAUGGUAAUGUCAGCUGGCUCUUGAUUAAUUUUGUAGCUUUAAUACACACUGACAAAUGUGAGAGCACACAUACAAGCCACUGAAAGCCAAACAAAAGCUUCAGGUUUAAAGUCUUUGCAGGGUUUAUCCUUCCAAAAAGAGGCUGCCAUAGCAACGACACACAUAAACACACUCCUUUUCUCAGAAGAAAAAGGGAAAGAAAACAGCCGGUCUCCCUUUGAACCAAAUGAAUGAGUCAGCUACAAAUGCAUGGAGAAGAGAAACGAAUUAAUACACGAACGAGGAAUAAAGGCACGAAAAGGAGUCGCGCAAAAGUAUGCCGUCCAAAAGUCAACACCAAGAGCGGCGGCCCACUGGUGAUCCCGAACACAUGGGCGGUUGCGUGGGGAGAACAAGAGGCAUGUUGCUUUUGUGAACAGCUCGUUAUCAAUUAACAAGCCCUGCUCAAUAAAAAAAAUAAUAAAUAGCAUCCGUUGUGGAGCCGUUUUAUUCAAUUAGCUUGGUUUUGUGCUCGGUAACGCAGAUGCGGUUACAACACCAAGUACAUGUCACACACUUUUAGGCAAAAUAUUAGACCACGGUUGCACGGCUAUGAAAGACAUAUUAGUUGUUGGGUAAUUAAGUGCAUCUCUCUGCCUUCAAAGCAGUGGCUGGCACACAUCCAACCCCCGUUUCCUUAUUCUGCUUCACAUAACAGAAGUGACAGGAACCAUUUCUCACUAAUUCACACUGACUUGAACUGAACAAAACAUUUCAUUCCACCAGCGUUCAUCAGAUGAGUCCCCAGCUCUCCAGUCAACAUGUCAGCUGCCAUAAUGCCAAAGAAUUGGGUCCCUCAACUGACAUUAGCGGCCACCGCUGCCGUCUCGGCCGUCAGAGGACACUGUCAGCAAUUCAUCUGCAGUUAAAAACUAUAAAUAGUGAGGGAUAAAAUUAGCAAACAGACAGGGCUGUUUUAAAGUGAGCUUGCAAUGACUAUUCCAAGCCACCCUGUCACAGCGCACGCCUGCAUCUUUUGACUGCUUAGCGACCCGCGCUAGGAGCCAUCCAUCUAGCCGACAACGCGCUCUAAAUGCUCGGGCCCCCGUCUGCCUCCGGCUUCGCUGCUCCUUGCCCAGGAUGGAUGGCGCUGAGCGAUGUCCGCGGGGGGG